AGCUCUGCGUGAUUUUUAUUUAACCAGAAUACCCAAACUCCAAGGCUGUUGAGCCACGUCAGGUGUACCAGGGUUGUUGCUUUUAGGAUGCAGUUGUUGAGGGAUUUGAGACCAGUGGUUAACAAAGUAAAAAGAAGUUUGGUUCUGAGAGUGAAGUACCAGAGAAUAGAAAGGCAUAGUUGGGCCAUUUUACAAUGCUCAGAGUAAAAGUGCAUUAGAUUGACUGAAAGUGGGCAAGUGCUUCUCCAAAAGGAGAAUUCUCACAAAAAUCCUUUCUUGCCUUAAACUUUGUGACCUGUUUGGUAAGCAUCGUGACCAGAUAAAACAUAGUGCAUGAAAAAAAGACAGGAGAGGAAAUAGAGAAAAUCAAGGAAAGUAUUCUUUCAAAUUAAACUCACAGCCCCAGAAAUGAGUCCUAGAUGCUGGAAAGGUAGAAAUAAUGUGUUUUGAAACUGUCUCUGGAGCAAACAGUUUCUCUCAGUAGAACAAAGCAGAUGUGAAGUGGCAGAACCACAAAUAAUAUCACAGCCUGUUUGCUCCCUUUAUUGCUGUCAUGGAUGAAGCCACUGAGCUGCUCUGGCUGCACCUGUCUCCUCAGGUUGUUUGCACAUGUAUUGUCAAGAUUGCGUAAGCCACAGACAUGCUUUGACCCAAAGACUUGAGAGCACAUGGUUUUCCAACCCCUGUCACCUGGAAGCACUGAUAGGCCCUGACCAGCUUCACCUGGACCAUCCCAGUCUCUGUCCAUGGGCCUAGUAAGCUCCGGUUCCUUGUGAAUGACUGACUUGAGGGAAGAGAACGUAGAGGUUGAUGUCAGCCUUGUUCUGCUCUGCAGGGGGCUAUGGAUGGAGAACAUUCUUCCUGGACUGCUCUAGGACUGCUAGAGAAAACUGUAACCAAUCCACCCAAACCCUUUGAGAGGGAAAUGCAUUCCCUGUAUGCCGGAGGAACUGGAUGAAGAAGAGAUUGGGAAAAAAACAGAAGACAAUGGAGUUUGGCAUUUUGACCCCUGCUGCUGAAAAGAGCCAGACACUUCUUCAUGAUUGACCCAAGUGCAUGGGAUGAAAGCAGGCUGCCUCCGAGGACCAGGCUGCCUUCUUUGGGGCGCGGAAAGCUGGUGUUGCUGGAGGUGCGUGACUGUCUGACGUGUUUACAUCCUGGACUUCUGAAGUAAUAUCUGUAGGCCAUCACUUUGGCUUGAAAAUUGAUUUUAUUAGGUGAAAAUGAACUGAAGAAAUGAACUGCAAGCCACAUUGCUGCGCUUACAAAGUGCGUUAUCCAGCCUUAUGUGCCCGGACGUAAUGAAUACACAGAGACCACCUACUUUGAACGCUCCUCUGAUUUUUCCAGUUUCUUUAAAGUCUAAUAAUAUUGGCAAUGCAGGAUGAAAGCAAUUGUGAAAAGUGAAAAAGUCCUUGUUUGCCUAUCCUGUCAUCUGGGGUCUGUUUCACUGAAGCUGAAAAAGAAGGUAACUUGCCUUAAUGCAGCGGGACAGCUUUUAGUCUAAUUGAACCAUGCAUCGGCAAGAACCCAGUAUUGAGCCUUCAGUCUCGGGUUAAUCCCUUUUAUUGGCUUGGGUGCAGGUUAUCAUCCCUUCUUAUCAAACAAGGACCCCUUUCUUCUCGCUCAGGAUCAGAACUAAAAGCCGGUUGAGAAAGAACUGACAAAUUCAAAGCAGUAAGCCUCCCCCUGCUCCGAAACCACCCUGCGCACCCACGAGGCGCUCUGCGACACACACACACGCUUCAGCUGCAAGGCUCGGGCGUGUUUUUGUUGCUGGGAAGCUCCCUCCCUCUCUUCCUCCCCUUUCAGCUGUGAUUUUUGUAGCAGCAGCUUCAAAGUGCAUGGAUUUGGUUCAAUUGUUUUGCCCAGCAUUUGCCGAUCAGCAUGUCAGAUUAAAUUUAUGGGCAGUUGACCAGUGUUUAGUAUUUGAACACCUGCUUCAACCUCCUCGUCUGGCACAGCUCUGUGAGCAGAGGUAUGUUAAAGUCACCGAUAGCGAGUGCGUGGUGCAAGUUGGGAAUGUAUUUUGAGGAAAAUAAAGGUGGCUUUGGGGGAAAACCGAUAACCAGUCUUGUGCGAGGCAGCUGGUCAAGCUCCAGGAUUGCAAUUGUCCUUUCUGACCUUAAACUCCAGAAAUCUACUUAAAUCACACUGGCCAAAAAUCCCCUGUGUUCGUUAGGGAACAGUUUUACCAUGAUUAUAGGUCACAUCACAGAGAAGUAAAUAAAAAGAUAUACUGUGUGUAUUGAGAACGCAGGCAAAGAUUUUUAAAUGAAUUAACAUGAAAUCUUCCACAAAGGCUAUUCUAUACAUACCUCUAAUUUAUUCAGUGCUACGUUUAGAGAGUCACUUAUUCCAAUAGUGUAUUCUUUAAAUACAGUACAACUACCAAAAAAUCCCACUUUUUCCUUCAUACUCAGUGCCUGCCUUCACCUUUUGAAACAGCUUCUACGAGAGCAAUAUUUUAACAGGUUUUAUGACAACGGACAGGAGGAGAAGAGGAGGAAAAAACAGCCUUAUUAAAGGUCAGAGCAGCCUAAUAGGAGAUACAAUAAACUAAGAGCUUUAUGAAGGCCUGAGACCAUCAUGCUUCCGCAGUAGGGCUCCUCUCCCUUUCCUCUGGAACAUCUGGUCUGUGACUCCCCGAAACGGGAUACUGAGCGCGGUGAACCCGGGGUCUGAUCCGGUUCGGUGCUUCAGUUCCCCCUUGCACACUCCAAGCUCCAGCAGUCAGCAGCAAUUUGGGGUGUGUAAGAAGUGAGUGACCCAGCAAAAUUAUGAUGCCUCUGAAAGAAUCCGCUCCUUUGUCUGCGUCUGGGAUGUUCGGCCAAAUUCUUCCCCUCGUCGCUUGCAUCGCCUUCACCACGCUUUCCCUGCAGGCGCUCUGAAAGAAAGGCUUGCAAUAUCUUUAAAAACUUCCUUUCCCUCCAUAUUGUUCUUUGGUAAAAGCACAGCGUAGCUGGGAUUGUUUUAUAUUUUUUCUUUCUUCAUACAAAACAGCACAAUGCCUGCUGGCCUGGGUAUCCGAAAUAUGGUUUUAUUGUUGUGGAAAGGCCUUAAUGAGGAAGAAAAAAACCCUAUUUAAUAAAGUGCAUCAAGUGCCCUUGGGAAAAAUUAGCACACAAUGACUUCUUGUGCCGCCAAUUGAAACAACAGAUUGGUGUAGUGAUAGGCUUUACAGGAAAUAUUAAAAAAGCACAGAUGGCUCAAGUUUACAUGUUUACAGUGGAGUUGGAACAGCAGCUAAAACCUUCCAGUGUAGUAUAAUUUACUAGAAGGUCAUAGACCUAGUGGUUAAGAAUGAACCUGAAGACUAUUGUAAACACACUAUUAGGGUUUGUAGAGGUCUAAUCCCAGCAUUUUUCAUUCUUUUCUGCAAUAUUAGAAGCAACUGGCUGCAGCGUUAGUGAAAAGAGAUACUUCAAGCAUGGAAAAAUGUGACAUUCCACUGGCACUUGCGGGGCUGAGCUGUUGCAGGAGCUGGAAGAGGGUUAUGCAAUUGCUACUGUUACUAUGUAAUUAGAAGCUCCUUGGCACUAAUCGGUGAUUCAGCUCACAAUGUGAUUAAAAAAAAACAUACUGAAAAUGUAGCUAGAAACAAGCUGCUUCAGCAAUUACGGGAGGGUCGGCUGUGCCCUUAGGAGCCGUGGUUCGCAGCUCUCGGGGACGGCUGGCCAGAGGAGGAGAGACCCCUGGGCUCCGGGAAAAGUCCUCCUCUGCCAGAGCUUCCUAUAAGGCCCAGGUCAAGCCGGCUGGGAUCUUCCCUUAUUUAGGUGCCUAGAUGAAAUGCUAGAGGCGUUUAUUUAUUUUAAAGUUUGUUGCAUCUGCAAUGGGAGCUAGUAGAAAUGUGGCCACAGCAGGUAGCAGGGCUCUCAGCAGGGAUAGCUCGAGCUUCCCAGGCAUAUUUUUCAUCAUCUGUUGCCUCUUUUGCUCUUUCUCUUUGUUCAGACUGUCAGCAGUUCUGGACAGGGAUCGUAACACCCACAGUCCAGACAGGAAAUGGGUUUUAGGAAGGCCUGUUACAGGUUGCAGUGUAAUAGGUAAAAUCAAUGGUAAAAUAAACAGCCAAAAGGUAAUAACAUAGGGUCACCAGAUGGAUGGGGGAGCCCUUGUUAGAGGUGGACCAACUGCCUGUGUUGACAGGUGUCCUUCAAGCAUUUCAUUUACGUGGUUUGUUCCCUACAGAAAUUAGCAACCCAGGUUAAUCAAGCAUCUGCUUACCACGAUGACAGCUUAACGUGGAACCACUUUCUGCCUCCCCUGCUGUUUGAGCUAUUUUGUUUACUUAAAACAAUACCUAGCCUUUGGAAAUAGGACAAGCAGCUAGUCUCGCCCGGACACCAAAUAUAAAUCUGAAUUGUAGAAAGCUCUAAACAAACAGACACCAAAAUCUAGCUCAUGUAUUUUCCUUCUUGACCUGUUUUCAAAGCCCUAUGCAAAGCAGUUCUGUAUUGUUACUGCCUUCCCACAGAUGGACAGACUGAGAUACAAAGAGAUGAAGUGAUUUGCCAGAAGAGUGAGAAAGUUUGGACUCAAAAACAGGUUUCUUGAUUUCCCAGUCAAAUGUUCUGUCCUUUGGAGCACAACCACUGGGCUGCGAUCAGUGAAGUGCUUAUCUGGCAUAUUUAAAUGU
Long non-coding RNA from Oxyura jamaicensis (ruddy duck), 4636 nucleotides. RefSeq lists it as uncharacterized. The record is from RefSeq and is a predicted model, not a curated record. NCBI's taxonomy places the organism in Eukaryota, Metazoa, Chordata, Aves, Anseriformes, Anatidae. The transcript is spliced from 3 exons.